This is a non-coding RNA of Pogona vitticeps (central bearded dragon), 246 nucleotides long. The record is from RefSeq and is a predicted model, not a curated record. Lineage: Eukaryota; Metazoa; Chordata; Lepidosauria; Squamata; Agamidae.
GAUGGGCCGAGGAGACAUUUUCUUCCUAUUAUGGUUAACGGAUUGGGGGAAACCAUUGCAAGUUUAUUGCAAAGCAGAGGUUUGAUAAAUAAGCAUCCAGAAUAAGAAUUGCUCUGAGGUACUACAGUUUGAGGGGAGGUUUGCUCUCUGAUCACAGCAUUUGAUUUCACAGAAGACAGGUGAGACGUAAAAGGAUGAUGGAACUCACACUGUGUUCUUCUGCUGCCCAAGACAACUCAGUAGACC